UCGAGCGAGCGGAACUAACAGAUUUACUUCGGUAAUGACGUUAGGAAAGCGAGCGGCGGAUGGGUGAGUAACACGUGGGGAACCUGCCCCAUAGUCUGGGAUACCACUUGGAAACAGGUGCUAAUACCGGAUAAGAAAGCAGAUCGCAUGAUCAGCUUUUAAAAGGCGGCGUAAGCUGUCGCUAUGGGAUGGCCCCGCGGUGCAUUAGCUAGUUGGUAAGGUAAAGGCUUACCAAGGCGAUGAUGCAUAGCCGAGUUGAGAGACUGAUCGGCCACAUUGGGACUGAGACACGGCCCAAACUCCUACGGGAGGCAGCAGUAGGGAAUCUUCCACAAUGGACGCAAGUCUGAUGGAGCAACGCCGCGUGAGUGAAGAAGGUUUUCGGAUCGUAAAGCUCUGUUGUUGGUGAAGAAGGAUAGAGGUAGUAACUGGCCUUUAUUUGACGGUAAUCAACCAGAAAGUCACGGCUAACUACGUGCCAGCAGCCGCGGUAAUACGUAGGUGGCAAGCGUUGUCCGGAUUUAUUGGGCGUAAAGCGAGCGCAGGCGGAAGAAUAAGUCUGAUGUGAAAGCCCUCGGCUUAACCGAGGAACUGCAUCGGAAACUGUUUUUCUUGAGUGCAGAAGAGGAGAGUGGAACUCCAUGUGUAGCGGUGGAAUGCGUAGAUAUAUGGAAGAACACCAGUGGCGAAGGCGGCUCUCUGGUCUGCAACUGACGCUGAGGCUCGAAAGCAUGGGUAGUGAACAGGAUUAGAUACCCUGGUAGUCCAUGCCGUANACGAUGAGUGCUAAGUGUUGGGAGGUUUCCGCCUCUCAGUGCUGCAGCUAACGCAUUAAGCACUCCGCCUG
RNAcentral lists this ribosomal RNA (847 nucleotides) under uncultured bacterium. RNAcentral describes it as "bacterial SSU rRNA". It matches the Rfam family "Bacterial small subunit ribosomal RNA", at positions 62 to 875 of the family's 1533-position model. The record is from RNAcentral.